CUAAAGUCCAAGCGUCACCACGAGGUCCACGAGCACGAACAACGGAAGGUCCUCAGUGUCCUCACUCGCUCUCUAAUUAAUUCUAAUCGUCAUUCAUUAGCAUAAUUUGCAUAGACAUGGAAGACUUCCACAUUCGCAAUAGUCGUGUCCUUGGUGGUCGCCUCAGCUUGGUGGUCAACUACCAUAGAGACGGAAAUCGCAUUCAGAUGGCGAAGUUGCUGAAGAAACCAGUAGCAGCGGUCUUUGGCCGCUGGAAUGGUCAUGCGGUUACUUUCCAAGGCGGCCCUGGAAAUUCUAUUGCACCCUGAAGGUGGCAGUUUUGGACCAUCUCAUGAGUGCCCAGCGACUCAUUAUUCACAGACCCGGUGUCCAUGAGGGGGACGACAUGGACAAUUUGCCACCUGAAAUCUUAUCAGGCCUUGGUAGCUUGGAGAAUAUGGGCGAGCGCAAGCUGGUUGUCCUGUUGGACUGCAUGCAUGAGGAGUUUGGAGUCUUUGAUGAUCCAGAUGUCCUCACUCUCCGAGGUGUUGCCCAAAAUGGAAUGAUGACUAGAUUCCCUGUUCUUUAAGAAGCCGCCCAUGCAGCGGCCAACAUGCAACCCGCCUUGCCUGCGGCCCAGGCCUUGAACCAGCAACCCGCGCUGCCCGCUGCGCAGGUGGCUGCCUUGAACCAGCAGACAUUACGGAGACAUUCUCCUACACUGUGGAAGAUGAAACUUUUUUUUUGCCGAAAAGAGUCAACGUAAACGAGGUAAAAGGGCUUAGUUUUGUGUUGGAAAGUGGUUUUUCCCUUGAGAUUAGUGAGCAAAUUUCGCUGAUAUUGACUGAGUCGGUCGUCAAGUUGGCCUUUAACUGAUAAGCAGACUUAUAUCUUGGGCCAAAACCUACUUGUCUGAAUAACUGAUUAAUGAUAUCCCAUUUAUGUGAUUGAAAAUCCGUAACCUGCUGUUAAGCUAUUAAAUUAAGUUGAAUUUAGUGUGAGGUAAUUAAUAUAAAAAUGAAAAAUUGUUCCAUUUUUUUUUUCAUUUGUGAAAAUUAGUAAUAAAUUACAAUUGAAAACAAUGUAAA
RNA transcript from Neocloeon triangulifer, 1067 nucleotides. RefSeq lists it as uncharacterized. The transcript is spliced from 4 exons. The record is from RefSeq and is a predicted model, not a curated record. Lineage: Eukaryota; Metazoa; Arthropoda; Insecta; Ephemeroptera; Baetidae.